This 210-nucleotide ribosomal RNA is filed under the name Florenciella parvula. RNAcentral describes it as "partial Bacterial large subunit ribosomal RNA". It matches the Rfam family "Bacterial large subunit ribosomal RNA", at positions 677 to 886 of the family's 2925-position model. The record is from RNAcentral. Lineage: Eukaryota; Dictyochophyceae; Florenciellales.
GCGAGCCUGAACAGGGCGCAUAGUCAGUGGGGGUAGACGCGAAACCAAGUGAUCUACCCUUGGCCAGGAUGAAGUCUGGGUAACACCAGAUGGAGGUCCGCACCAAUAAGCGUUGAAAAGCUUCUGGAUGAGCUGAGGGUAGGGGUGAAAGGCUAAUCAAACUUGGAGAUAGCUCGUACUCCCCGAAAGGCAUUUAGGUGCCGCGUCGGA